This 493-nucleotide ribosomal RNA is filed under the name uncultured bacterium. RNAcentral describes it as "partial 16S ribosomal RNA". It matches the Rfam family "Bacterial small subunit ribosomal RNA", at positions 29 to 507 of the family's 1533-position model. The record is from RNAcentral.
ACGCACGCUGGCGGCGUGCUUAACACAUGCACGUCGAACGGAAAGGCCUGCUUUCCCUUGUGGAUUGCGGGUACUCGAGUGGCGAACGGGUGAGUAACACGUGAGUGAUCUGCCCCCAACUUGGGUAUAAGCCUGGGAAACUGGGUCUAAUUCCCGAUAGGACUGCAGGGUGGUGCCUGUGGUGGAAAACGAUUUUCUAGUGGUUGGGGAUGAGCUCGCGGCCUAUCAGCUUGUUGGUGGGGUAAUGGCCUACCAAGGCGGCGACGGGUAGCCGGCCUGAGAGGGUGGACGGCCACAUUGGGACUGAGAUACGGCCCAGACUCCUACGGGAGGCAGCAGUGGGGAAUAUUGCACAAUGGGCGGAAGCCUGAUGCAGCGACGCCGCGUGGGGGAUGACGGCCUUCGGGUUGUAAACUCCUUUCGACCGCGAGGAAGCCACCUGGUUGGAAGGGUGGUGACGGUAGUGGUAGAAGAAGCACCGGCUAACUACGUG